Molecule: transfer RNA, 51 nt
Filed under: Centrorhynchus clitorideus
Lineage: Eukaryota; Metazoa; Acanthocephala; Palaeacanthocephala; Polymorphida; Centrorhynchidae
Description: tRNA-Phe
Source: RNAcentral
AUCAAGGCAGCUCUGGGAGUACGGUAUUGAAGAUACUGGGGGAUAUUGGUA